Molecule: long non-coding RNA, 1171 nt
Filed under: Felis catus (domestic cat)
Lineage: Eukaryota; Metazoa; Chordata; Mammalia; Carnivora; Felidae
Description: lncRNA (ENSFCAG00000052223.1)
Source: RNAcentral
UACAAUUCCAAUCAGUAAGAUAUAGGUAGAUGUGAUGAUAAGUGAUAAUAGUGUGGUAGUGGUGGUGGUGGUAUUGGUGGUGAUCAUGCUAUUUGUUAUUGCACAUUAAUAAUAUUUUUAUCACUUCACAAUUUUUUUCCAAUUUUAGCCUCCUUCUAGGACUGUAACAGCUCAUUUCUAAUUAUAGGGAUGGGAUCAAUAGUUUUAUGACAGAUGAAAUGAUUUGUAUUACUACAACUUUUGCAGUUGAUAUGUUUCUCUUGAGAAACUGUCUUCUGGCUCUUGAAUUCUUGUGGCCUUCCACACUGUAAUAUGACUAUUAUCAGCAAACAAAUGGAAUAUCAUUACAUCAAUGUAUGUUAGAGCUGAAAGCCUCAAUACAUCAAUAUAAAAUAUGACCUACACAUAAAUAAGCUUAAAAGUGAAUACAAAUUUUUCUAAGACACAUGAGAUUGUUAGAUACCAUUGAGGGAUCUGUUGAUUAGAAAAAGAAAUGUACCAGGGAGACUUCAACAGAAUGGAGACUGAAAUUGAGAAAAAACUGAAACUAAAAUAUGAAAAAAAAAAAUCAGAAAGGGCUACCUUGCCUCUCUGUAUCUUAACCUAUUUUAAGUAGGGAUCAAAAUUGGUCUUCUGAUUGUUGAAUGUUAGUUUUUCUUAUAUGUAUAUUUCUCUUAUAAUGUUACUUUACUACUUAAGAAUUCUCAAUAUGAAUUAAAUAGGACCUACUCUUUCUAUUUAUUAUUGUUAUUUUAGAAUCACUCUAGCACUCAUGAACCUUAAUAAUAUCUGAUCUUUUCCCCAUCUACACCAACUCAAUUUUGUUUUUUACUGAUCCUCAAGAUGAAACAUCCAUUUUGAUCACAUUAGUCACCUUAAAGUACUCAAUACUUACAAUAUAAUAAGUCUUAUAUUGCUUAACUUCAUUCGUUCAUUAUUUUUUGUGCCCUAUUGUUUGGACUGUGACGACCUAUGAGGAUAUACUGGUCAACAACAACAACAGCAACAACAAAAAUAGACCUAGAUUCUUCCUUCAAACAGCUCAGAGACAAGUGGGUGGAGAGGCAACACAGGCCAGAUUCUUUGAGUACCUUUCCACAGAUCUGGCCACUGGGCAACUGAACCAAGAUCUCCAAGCCAGACUCAACCAAGAUGACCUACUUCACCCAGA